GUCUUCUCGCCGUCUUCUCGCCGGAUGGAAACUAUGCGGAUGCUGGUACGAUUGUCCUGCAACUAUGGUGCUUCAUUCCUACAAAAAGAGAUGUCAAUGGGGUAGCUCAUAUUCUUGCUAGAGAGGUUGUUUCUCUUACAAUAGAAUUGAUUGAUAAUGAUUCUACUCCUAUAUUUAUUUCUGCUCAUGUACUGGCUGAAUACCAACAUUGUACCUGAUUAUAUGAAUGUCAUUCUAUCUUUAAAAAGAAAAAAGAAAAAAGAAAAAAAAAAGUUUGCAUUUUAGUGGUUUACUUUUGCAGCUGUAUGAAAAUGCAAUUACAGUCUGUUUCCGGUAGCUUUUUAGUGGUUUGACCAAAAAAGUUUUAAGAAAAAAAAAUUUGCUCAAGUUCUUAAUGGAUUUAAGUGAAAGAAAAAUAUACAUAUAAAAUGAGUGUUGUAGAAAAUAUAUCUCUAUAUCUAUAUGUCUUUCACUAUAUAUCCACUAGAAUGUUGACGUUGAUGAUCAAUUCAUGGGUUUGGAGAUGGGUUUUUAAAGUAGCUAGGCAACCAAUAUUGAAGACUACCUUUACGUUGGUGGUUGUUUGAUAUUGCUAAUUGGUUUUCCAACUGUGAAGGGAUAAAACCUGGUAGGCAUUAGGUGGUUCUAGACCCAGACUAGCUACAAAAUUAGCUAGCUAUAUACAUACAUACAUAUAUAUACACAUGGGGUGGUUCAAGAACACAACUAUAUAUAUAUAGUUCUGCUUGUGUUACUGCAUGCUAUUGGUUUCACUCUUUCCCUGUAUAAAAAAAUAAUUAAUUAAUUAGUCAAGAAUAGCUGGCUAUGAUCUAUCUUGGUUGUUUCCAACUUCGUAUAUGCAGAAACUGAUCAUAUCAAUAUGUUGAAUACAAGACAAGAAAUAAGAUCUCAGCAUGAUUAAUUAAGUAGACUUCUCUCGUCAGUAUUAAUGUUCUGAAAACCAGCUACUUGUUUCUGUGUAGCUAGGCUUUUAACCAUGCAGGUCAAAAUGUUGAAAUAUUUUGGGUGUCCUGUUUUUAAAUAAAUAAAUGAUUCCUACUUUGAAACUCUCAAAUUUUAUUUUUUUUCUUUUACUUUCCAGUGUCCACUUGACACCAGCAUUGGUUUGGAAGAAAAUCAUAUAUUUAUUAGGUAGUGUAUUGUUAGGUUUUGACCAUAUUUUGUAGCUUAUGCCAAUGUACAUUUCUCUUGCCACCAACUGGUCACUUGGAAGUUAUUGGUUCUUUAGUAUCCGGUCAAACUGCUACAACAAGGUAAGUUAUCAAUACAUACAUAGCAAUUUUUUAUAUGAUUAUUAGUGCAACACUGAACUGUACCUUCUAAGUUAUUCUUCUUCUUACUUUUUGCUUUUUAUCUAUCAUUCAUUAUUAUUCUAUUCUUUUUUCAGGGUUCAGAAUUUUACUUGCACUUGAAUCUGUUCUUGUCAGAUGGUUGUAUGAAGGAAAAUCAUAUGAGAGAAUGUGUGUUGGCCUUAUCGUGAUAAUUGGAACAUUACAUGUGAAAAACAUGAUGUUGAAGGAUAUCUAUUCUCAAAGAUUGAACCAAGAUAUCAAGAAAUAUAGAGCAAAAACAUUUCAGAAGCUGUCAAAGAUCGAUGGAAUCAAAGUUCAACUCAUAUAGAAAAAAUUUCACUUGUAAAUUUAUAUUCCAUUGUGAUAUGUUGGAUGGAAUGGUGUAAAACUUAAAACAUUGGCAGUGGUUAAUUUCAAAUAUGUACUUUGAGUUUA
Long non-coding RNA from Carya illinoinensis, 1748 nucleotides. RefSeq lists it as uncharacterized. The transcript is spliced from 4 exons. NCBI's taxonomy places the organism in Eukaryota, Viridiplantae, Streptophyta, Magnoliopsida, Fagales, Juglandaceae. The record is from RefSeq and is a predicted model, not a curated record.